CAGUAACGUGCAGGUACUACUUUUAUAUACCAUAGGCUUCCCACACAUCUACAAGACUGAGGUCAGCAAACAACUUUUUCUGUAUAAACACUGUUAUGCAAGACUCCUGAAGCUGCUGUGCCCACAGAAGCAUAAGAUAAUGGAGACGACUCAACAGAUCACUUCCUAAUGGUGUUAAGAGGUGGAAGCUGGUGCAUCCUCGAGUGAAUAUAUUCUCGGAACAGAGGUGUGUUUUUUUUUUAGUUUGUUGGCAGUGAAAGCAAUACCUAAGCAGUUCUGAAGCUGAAUUAUGGGCUUCAGGGUGUAUGGAAAGUUUGCUGGUUACAAGGACGCUGACAUCUAUCCCUUUCACUAAACUGUUAAAUAAAGAAAAUCCUAAACUC
RNAcentral lists this long non-coding RNA (383 nucleotides) under Coturnix japonica (Japanese quail). RNAcentral's name for it is "lncRNA (ENSCJPG00005005230.1)". The record is from RNAcentral. Lineage: Eukaryota; Metazoa; Chordata; Aves; Galliformes; Phasianidae.